GAUGAACGCUGGCGGCGUGCCUAAUACAUGCAAGUCGAGCGAACGGACGAGAAGCUUGCUUUUCUGAUGUUAGCGGCGGACGGGUGAGUAACACGUGGAUAACCUACCUAUAAGACUGGGAUAAAUUCGGGAAACCGGAGCUAAUACCGGAUAAUAUUUUUAACCGCAUGGUUCAAAAGUGAAAGACGGUCUUGCUGUCACUUAUAGAUGGAUCCGCGCUGCAUUGGCUAGUUGGUAAGGUAACGGCUUACCAAGGCAACGAUGCAUAGCCGACCUGAGAGGGUGAUCGGCCACACUGGAACUGAGACACGGUCCAGACUCCUACGGGAGGCAGCAGUAGGGAAUCUUCCGCAAUGGGCGAAAGCCUGACGGAGCAACGCCGCGUGAGUGAUGAAGGUCUUCGGAUCGUAAAACUCUGUUAUUAGGGAAGAACAUAUGUGUAAGUAACUGUGCACAUCUUGACGGUACCUUACCAGAAAGCCACGGCUAACUACGUG
RNAcentral lists this ribosomal RNA (497 nucleotides) under uncultured bacterium. Its description in RNAcentral is "partial 16S ribosomal RNA". It matches the Rfam family "Bacterial small subunit ribosomal RNA", at positions 28 to 507 of the family's 1533-position model. The record is from RNAcentral.